RNAcentral lists this ribosomal RNA (450 nucleotides) under uncultured bacterium. RNAcentral describes it as "bacterial SSU rRNA". It matches the Rfam family "Bacterial small subunit ribosomal RNA", at positions 29 to 524 of the family's 1533-position model. The record is from RNAcentral.
AGCGAACGCUGGCGGCAGGCCUAACACAUGCAAGUCGAACGAACUCUUCGGAGUUAGUGGCGGACGGGUGAGUAACACGUGGGAACGUGCCUUUAGGUUCGGAAUAACUCAGGGAAACUUGUGCUAAUACCGAAUGUGCCCUUCGGGGGAAAGAUUUAUCGCCUUUAGAGCGGCCCGCGUCUGAUUAGCUAGUUGGUGAGGUAAAGGCUCACCAAGGCAACGAUCGGUAGCUGGUCUGAGAGGAUGACCAGCCACAUUGGGACUGAGACACGGCCCAAACUCCUACGGGAGGCAGCAGUGGGGAAUCUUGCGCAAUGGGCGAAAGCCUGACGCAGCCAUGCCGCGUGGAUGAUGAAGGUCUUAGGAUUGUAAAAUCCUUUCACCGGUGAAGAUAAUGACUGUAGCCGGAGAAGAAGCCCGGCUAACGUUCGUGCCAGCAGCCGCGGUAAA